AACCACAUUCUUUCAGGUUUGUGUAUCAUCAGGAAUAAACAUUUUGCAAUGGCACCUAAAGUUAACAGUUCUUUAGAUCAGUGGUCUCCAAAGUGGGGUGCGUAAGACAAUCCAUUGGGGUGUGGGAAGAAAAUAUUAGAACUUCUAUUUAGAUGUAUAUUUAUAUAAAUAUACAUAUAUUGGUGGUGCGUGCUCAAAAAUUGUUUACUGAUAGGGGUGCGCGAAUAUAAAUAUAUUGGGGUGGGUGCUCAAAAAUUUUUUACUGAUGGGGUGUGCGAUCAAAAAAGUUUGGAGACCACUGCUUUAGAUAAUGCAUCAACCAGAAUAGAACGCAGCUUAGCCAGUUGCAACUCUAUUAGCUUGAAAGUGUAAAGAGGAAUAAAAGCCUACCACUUGUCACAAAAAUAAGCAGAGAUUUGCUGAUAUCUAAUCUGUGGGUCUUCUGCUUGUUCCUGCUGAAAAACACACACACACUGGGUAAAUUAUAUUUGCUUUUGCUUUUUAAUAUCAAAUCUCUAGUUGUAUGCAAGGAAAGUUGUCUGAAGGUUGGUCUGCAUUGUCAGUUUACAGCAGUUCUGCUCUUUUCUGAAUACGUAUUUUACUUUCUGAUAUGAAGAAGCAAAGAUAAAAUGUCUUUAUUGCAAGAUUUUUAUGACACUGUUUAUGGCCACUUAAAGAACAAGUAAAAUUUGAUUAGAAAACCUAUUUCAGUGCAAGUCCAGGGAGAUUACAUUGUUAUGCCAAUAUAAUCUAAGAGGUAAUAGUAAAUUAUACCACAAUAAUAUCAUUCUGAAGCGAUUAGGAUAUAAGGUAAUCAUGGACAAACUUCUUCCUCUAAUUCCGCUGAAGCCAUUUUAGCUUUCUCAUAAUCAGCCCAGCUAAUCUACUUCCACUGAGAGGUUUUCUUCUCAAAUACAGUUUUUCUUCUUUUCCUACUUCAAGAGAGUACGUUUGGCCAGCUCUGAGUCCUGAAAUUUCAUUUUGACUUUCAGUGGAAUUAACUAAAAAUUGCAUUGCUUAGACUGCAAGGUUUUGGUUUCCUGGGUUUUGUUCA
RNAcentral lists this long non-coding RNA (1054 nucleotides) under Crocodylus porosus (Australian saltwater crocodile). RNAcentral's name for it is "lncRNA (ENSCPRG00005007540.1)". Lineage: Eukaryota; Metazoa; Chordata; Crocodylia; Crocodylidae. The record is from RNAcentral.